RNAcentral lists this ribosomal RNA (497 nucleotides) under uncultured bacterium. RNAcentral's name for it is "partial 16S ribosomal RNA". It matches the Rfam family "Bacterial small subunit ribosomal RNA", at positions 28 to 507 of the family's 1533-position model. The record is from RNAcentral.
GAUGAACGCUGGCGGCGUGCCUAAUACAUGCAAGUCGAGCGAACAGACGAGGAGCUUGCUCCUCUGACGUUAGCGGCGGACGGGUGAGUAACACGUGGAUAACCUACCUAUAAGACUGGGAUAACUUCGGGAAACCGGAGCUAAUACCGGAUAAUAUAUUGAACCGCAUGGUUCAAUAGUGAAAGACGGUUUUGCUGUCACUUAUAGAUGGAUCCGCGCCGCAUUAGCUAGUUGGUAAGGUAACGGCUUACCAAGGCAACGAUGCAUAGCCGACCUGAGAGGGGGAGAGGAAAGACUAGAAAUGAGAAACGGUGCAGAAUAAGAAGGAAGGCAGAAGGAGGGAAGCUGAAGAAAGGGGAGAAAGCAUGAAGGAGAAAAGAAGAGGGAGGGAUGAAGGGAUUAGGAUCGGAAAACUCUGUGAUGAGAGAAGAAAAGAUGGGGAAGUAAAUGUGCAAAUCUUGACGGGAACUAAUCAGAAAGACACGGCUAAAUACGUG